RNAcentral lists this ribosomal RNA (502 nucleotides) under uncultured bacterium. Its description in RNAcentral is "bacterial SSU rRNA". It matches the Rfam family "Bacterial small subunit ribosomal RNA", at positions 1 to 492 of the family's 1533-position model. The record is from RNAcentral.
GAUUAGAGUUUGAUCCUGGUUCAGAUUGAACGCUGGCGGCAUGCCUUUCCCCAUCCAAGUCGAACGGCAGCAUGGAGGAGCUUGUUCUUCUGAUGGCGAGUGGCGAACGGGGGAGGUAAAGCAUCGGAACGUACCGUGUAGUGGGGGAUAACGUAGCGAAAGUUACGCCUAAUACCGCAUACGCACUGAGGUGGAAAGCAGGGGAUCGCAAGACCUUGCGCUAUACGAGCGGCCGAUGUCAGAUUAGCUAGUUGGUAGGGUAAAGGCCUACCAAGGCGACGAUCUGUAGCGGGUCUGAGAGGAUGAUCCGCCACACUGGGACUGAGACACGGCCCAGACUCCUACGGGAGGCAGCAGUGGGGAAUUUUGGACAAUGGGGGAAACCCUGAUCCAGCCAUGCCGCGUGAGUGAAGAAGGCCUUCGGGUUGUAAAGCUCUUUCGGCUGGGAAGAAAUCGCACAGGCUAAUACUCUGUGUGGAUGACGGUACCAGCAUAAGAAGCA